UUGCCCUACGGGGCGCAGCAGUGGGGAAUAUUGCACAAUGGGGGAAACCCUGAUGCAGCGACGCCGCGUGAGUGAGGAAGUAUUUCGGUAUGUAAAGCUCUAUCAGCAGGGAAGAAAAUGACGGUACCUGACUAAGAAGCCCCGGCUAACUACGUGCCAGCAGCCGCGGUAAUACGUAGGGGGCAAGCGUUAUCCGGAUUUACUGGGUGUAAAGGGAGCGUAGACGGAAUUGCAAGUCUGAUGUGAAAAUCCGGGGCCCAACCCCGGAACUGCAUUGGAAACUGUAUUUCUAGAGUGUCGGAGAG
RNAcentral lists this ribosomal RNA (305 nucleotides) under uncultured bacterium. RNAcentral describes it as "bacterial SSU rRNA". It matches the Rfam family "Bacterial small subunit ribosomal RNA", at positions 334 to 656 of the family's 1533-position model. The record is from RNAcentral.